GUAGGGAAUAUUGGACAAUGGGCGCAAGCCUGAUCCAGCCAUGCCGCGUGAGUGAAGAAGGCCCUCGGGUUGUAAAGCUCUUUUGUCCGGAAAGAAAAGCACUGGGUUAAUACCCCGGUGUCCUGACGGUACCGGAAGAAUAAGCACCGGCUAACUUCGUGCCAGCAGCCGCGGUAAUACGAAGGGUGCAAGCGUUACUCGGAAUUACUGGGCGUAAAGCGUGCGUAGGUGGUUUGUUAAGUCUGAUGUGAAAGCCCUGGGCUCAACCUGGGAAUGGCAUUGGAUACUGGCAGGCUAGAGUGCGGUAGAGGGUAGUGGAAUUCCCGGUGUAGCAGUGAAAUGCGUAGAGAUCGGGAGGAACAUCUGUGGCGAAGGCGACUACCUGGACCAGCACUGACACUGAGGCACGAAAGCGUGGGGAGCAAACAGGAUUAGAUACCCGGGUAGUCC
Molecule: ribosomal RNA, 450 nt
Filed under: uncultured bacterium
Lineage: Bacteria
Description: bacterial SSU rRNA
Rfam family: Bacterial small subunit ribosomal RNA
Source: RNAcentral